This 497-nucleotide ribosomal RNA is filed under the name uncultured bacterium. Its description in RNAcentral is "partial 16S ribosomal RNA". It matches the Rfam family "Bacterial small subunit ribosomal RNA", at positions 28 to 506 of the family's 1533-position model. The record is from RNAcentral.
GAUGAACGCUGGCGGCGUGCCUAAUACAUGCAAGUCGAGCGAACAGACGAGGAGCUUGCUCCUCUGACGUUAGCGGCGGACGGGUGAGUAACACGUGGAUAACCUACCUAUAAGACUGGGAUAACUUCGGGAAACCGGAGCUAAUACCGGAUAAUAUAUUGAACCGCAUGGUUCAAUAGUGAAAGACGGUUUUGCUGUCACUUAUAGAUGGAUCCGCGCCGCAUUAGCUAGUUGGUAAGGUAACGGCUUACCAAGGCAACGAUGCGGAGCCGACCUGAGAGGGUGGUCCGGCCCACUGGGACUUGGACCCCGGCCCCACCCCCUCGGGGGGGCCGAGGAGGGAAAUCUUCCGCAAGGGGGGAAGGCCUAAGGGGGCAAGCCCGGUGGGGUGAUAAAGGCCUUGGGUUCGUAAAACUUUUUUUUUGGGAAAAAACAAAUGUGUAAGUAACGUUGCCCUUUUUGCCGGUCCCAAACCAAAAAGCCCCGCCAAACUCCGU